Molecule: ribosomal RNA, 519 nt
Filed under: uncultured Glomus
Lineage: Eukaryota; Fungi; Glomeromycota; Glomeromycetes; Glomerales; Glomeraceae
Description: SSU rRNA
Rfam family: Eukaryotic small subunit ribosomal RNA
Source: RNAcentral
CCAAUAGCGUAUAUUAAAGUUGCUGCAGUUAAAAAGCUCGUAGUUGAAUUUCGGGACUAAUAUGUCGGUCGUGCCUCGGUACGUACUGGUUUAUUGGUUUCUCCUUUCUGAAGAACCAUGAUGUCAUUUAUUUGGUGUCGUGGGGAAUCAGGACUGUUACUUUGAAAAAAUUAGAGUGUUUAAAGCAGGCUCACGCUUGAAUACAUUAGCAUGGAAUAAUGAAAUAGGACGUUUGAUUCUAUUUUGUUGGUUUCUAGGAUCGACGUAAUGAUUAAUAGGGAUAGUUGGGGGCAUUAGUAUUCAAUUGUCAGAGGUGAAAUUCUUGGAUUUAUUGAAGACUAACUACUGCGAAAGCAUUUGCCAAGGAUGUUUUCAUUAAUCAAGAACGAAAGUUAGGGGAUCGAAGACGAUCAGAUACCGUCGUAGUCUUAACCAUAAACUAUGCCGACUAGGGAUCGGAUGAUGUUAAUUUUUUAAUGACUCAUUCGGCGCCUUACGGGAAACCAAAGUGUUUGGGUU